CAGCAGCCGCGGUAAUACGUAGGGUGCGAGCGUUAAUCGGAAUUACUGGGCGUAGAGCGUGCGCAGGCGGUUGUGUAAGACAGGUGUGAAAUCCCCGGGCUUAACCUGGGAACUGCGCUUGUGACUGCACAGCUAGAGUAUGGCAGAGGGGGGUGGAAUUCCACGUGUAGCAGUGAAAUGCGUAGAGAUGUGGAGGAACACCGAUGGCGAAGGCAGCCCCCUGGGCCAAUACUGACGCUCAUGUACGAAAGCGUGGGGAGCAAACAGGAUUAGAUACCCCCGUAGUCCCUGUCUCUUAUAC
RNAcentral lists this ribosomal RNA (301 nucleotides) under uncultured bacterium. Its description in RNAcentral is "partial 16S ribosomal RNA". It matches the Rfam family "Bacterial small subunit ribosomal RNA", at positions 509 to 807 of the family's 1533-position model. The record is from RNAcentral.